Passer montanus (Eurasian tree sparrow) is the source of this 3151-nucleotide RNA transcript. It is a transcript of the gene named FLVCR heme transporter 2, with no coding region annotated. The transcript is spliced from 11 exons. The record is from RefSeq and is a predicted model, not a curated record. Lineage: Eukaryota; Metazoa; Chordata; Aves; Passeriformes; Passeridae.
CCUCGUGUGGCGGCCGCCAGUGAGCGCGGCAGGGGCGGCCGGGCGGGGUGUUUUGGGCAGGUGGUGCCGGUAGGGACCCGACCCGACCUGACCCAAAACGAACCGAGCCAGGCCGGGCCGGGCCGGCUGCGGCUCCCGGUGCCGGCAUGGUGUUGCAGGAGCCCGCCGGGGCGCCGAAUCUGUCGACUGCGGCGGCAGGGGUCGGUGAUGCCGCCGCCGAGGUACAGCUGUCCCGGCGUCGCUGGGCCGUGCUGCUGCUCUUCUGCAGCUACUCCCUGUGCAACGCCUUCCAGUGGAUCCAGUACGGCAGCAUCAGCAACGUCUUCGUGCGCUUCUACGGCGUGAGCGCCUUUGCCAUCGACUGGCUUUCCAUGAGCUACAUGCUCAUCUACAUCCCCCUGCUCUUCCCUGUCGCCUGGCUGCUGGACAAGAGGGGCCUGCGCCUCAUCGCCCUGGCUGGCUCGGCCCUCAAUGCCGUGGGUGCCUGGGUGAAGCUGGGCAGCCUGAAGCCGCACCUCUUCCCCGUCACUGUCCUGGGACAGGUCAUCUGUGGCCUGGCCCAGGUCUUCAUCCUGGGCAUGCCCUCACGCAUCGCCUCCGUCUGGUUUGGCUCCCAGGAGGUCUCCACCGCCUGCUCCAUUGCUGUCUUUGGGAACCAGCUUGGCAUCGCUGCAGGCUUCCUGGUCCCUCCAGUUCUGAUCCCUAAUGUGGAGGAUGUGGAGAAGCUGGCUUACCACAUCAGCAUCAUGUUCUUCAUGAUUGCAGGUGUGGCAUCAGCCCUGUUCAUCCUGGUCAUCAUAGUCUUCAAAGCGAAGCCCCCAAACCCUCCAAGCCGAGCUCAGGCCUUGAUCCAGUCAAGACCAGCUGUGGAGUAUUCCUACGUGCAAUCAAUCCUCCGCCUGCUCCGCAAUGCCAACUUUUUGCUGCUUAUGGUCACUUAUGGUCUGAAUGUAGGUUGUUUCUACGCCUUGUCCACUCUGCUGAACCGCAUGGUGAUCCAUCACUACCCAGGGGAGGAGGUGAAUGCUGGCAGGAUUGGACUCACCAUUAUACUGUCGGGGAUGGCUGGAGCUCUGAUCUCCGGCAUCUGGUUGGAUAAAACCAAAACCUACAAGCAAACAACACUAGUUGUCUAUGUCAUGUCUCUGGUGGGAAUGAUAGUCUAUACCUUCACUCUGAGCCUGGACCACCUCUGGGUGGUCUUUGUGACUGCUGGGUUGCUGGGGUUUUUCAUGACAGGAUACCUUCCCCUGGGCUUUGAGUUUGCUGCAGAGUUGACAUACCCAGAAUCAGAAGGAACAUCAUCAGGGCUUCUUAAUGUCUCAGCACAGAUUUUUGGUAUUGCCUUCACCAUUAGCCAAGGGCAAAUCAUAGAUCACUUUGGGACAAAGGCAGGAAACCUCUUGCUUUGUUCUGUCCUGUUCCUGGGGACUAUUCUGACAGCAUUCAUUAAGGCUGAUCUCCGAAGACAUCAGGCCAAUUUGGAAAAUGAACAGACACUGCAGGUGCUCAACUGACUGAUGGCAGGCUGAAUCUGGUAUUCUGCAUUAAGAUGGAUGCCUCGACCAGGGGAUCACCCAUCUGGGCUUGGGCAUUGUGUGCUGCCUUUGUGGAGAACUCUGACAAAGUCAGAAAGUGUUGCCAGAAGCCUACACUAAUUCCAUAGUCCUUGAGGAAUCACGGCUGUGAAAUGAAGGGGUGGCAGAGCUGGGAGAUACAGCCCCCUCAUUCCCAUCUUUUCUACCUGCACCAUGCUCCUGUCACAUGCAUGCCAUGGGAGGGGAGCAGCCUCAGGACAGGAGCUCUGUGAACUGCUUGUGGAGAGUGUGAAAGCACAAAACAAGAGGGGGGGUUGCUUUUGUCAGUUUUAUGCUUGCAUCAUGCUGUUUUGGUGUUUGGGAGAAAAUUUGCUGUGUUCCCCCAGUCCCACCAUGUAUGAUUGGAAAAAGCAUGUGCUGAGAGAAAAGCCACAGUACCAGGCUAACCCUGAGCAUGAUGGUGGCACCUUGCAUGUGGCCAUGAUGUGAAAGGCAGAAGCUGGACCACACUUAACUCUGAAGCUGGCUGGAAGAGCUGGCUCUAGGGAAAAGAGAUUGCUCUGCCUUGGUUCCCAUUAUGCUCUGUGUUGCACAGGUAGUAGUAGAGGCCUCAGUAUAUUACUAGCAAGUGCAAAGCAGUGCACCAGCUGCUGCUAGCUAUUCUUUUAUUUGGCUUUCCCAGAUGAAGCACUCAAUCUGGAUAAACUUUUACUCAGAAUUCACUGGGGUUGCCCUGAUGUUCCUACAUAUUAAGAGUAAUUAAGAGACACCAAUAUGCCUCCUUCUAGCUUGAGGCAAGGACUAGUUCUGCAGCUUAAAUCUAGCUCAUCACUACAUUAGCAACAAGAGUCAAACCACUAUUUCCCUGGGCUGAGGACUGUGUCUUCCUCCUUAACAGUAAAGUGCCUUUUGCAUGUUUCAACAUGACAUACAAACUUUUGUGAAGUGUUAUAUUGAGCAAACCAGCCAAGGCUGUGUUGUUCUUCACAGCCAGAGAGGGAUAUGAUGGGAAUCCAGCUUGGCUCUGAUGUGGAAGCUUCCCACUUGAUAAUAGAGAACAGGAAAAGGUGCCUACUUACCAGCACUUAUGUCUUAUAGACACUGCCCAUCUCUAUGCUGUUUAUGUUCUAAACACAACUGUAGAUCCUUUUAUCACUUCUCCAUCCUUUCCAGCAUCCCACCUCUGCUGGAGGCAUCAAAUGUCCUAAUAUGCCUUAAAUCAUGCUGUUACUUAGGGAUUAUUUGAGGCAGAGGACAAAAGCUGUACUGAGGUAGAAUAGUUGAAAAUAUUCCUUUCUGACAAACUAUUUUUGACAUUUUUUUGGUGAAAUUUUAAUGUUUUUUGAUACACUACAUUUUGAGACAGCCUGAGUUCAGUAGGUGCUUAGACAACUCUCAGGCACAUGGUGUGAUUCUUAGGGGUCCUGUGCAGGGCCAGGAGUUGGACUGUGAUCCUGAUAAAUUCCUUUCACUUCAGCAUAUUUUAUGAUUGAAGUCUUAUCUUUGCUAGUUUGGGAUUGAGGAUGGGGGUUUAGAAUGAUUUUCAAUAGAAAUUUUAAUGUAAAAUGUAAACAUUUGAAGUGUACAAUGAAACCUGACAUAUUCAUAUUAAA